GGGAUUACAGGCGUGAGCCACCGCGCCCAGCCCACAAAAUAAGUUUGCCUUUAAUCUAUUUUCUCCAUAUCUAAAUAUGAGAGUUUAAGAGUGUGGACAGAAUUGAAGACAUGGAGUUUUUUUUUUUUACUUCUGUGAUGCCAUCAUCCUUUGUUCACUGCCUGAUCUCUAAAAGAAAGGUGGGCAACAGGUGGUAAGCAGUGGUUUACCUGUGGUAUUUUAUUCCUGCCACCCUCAGCUAUUUCUAUGGCCACUGUCUGUUCCACCCUCGAAACUGAAGAGAGAUAUUGGUAGGGGGAGGUUCUUCCUUCACCUCUGGCCCUUCCACACAUCAGAGCUGCCAUGUGUGGAUCCUGGGUGCCAGGAAUGAGCCUGGUCUGAACUGCAAUGUUCUAGAAAGGUAAAAUAUAGAGUUACUUUCAAAA
Molecule: long non-coding RNA, 425 nt
Organism: Sapajus apella (tufted capuchin)
Lineage: Eukaryota; Metazoa; Chordata; Mammalia; Primates; Cebidae
Exons: 2
Source: RefSeq, a predicted model, not a curated record